CCCUUAGAUGUUCUGGGCCGCACGCGCGCUACACUGACGAAUGCAACGAGCUUAUAACCUUGGCCGAAAGGUCUGGGUAAUCUCCAAAUUUCGUCGUGAUGGGGAUAGAUUAUUGCAAUUAUUAAUCUUCAACGAGGAAUGCCCAGUAAGCGCAAGUCAUCAGCUUGCGUUGAUUACGUCCCUGCCCUUUGUACACACCGCCCGUCGCUCCUACCGAUUGAAUGGUCCGGUGAAGCCUCCGGAUUGGCGCGCACCUCGGUGCCGCCGAGAAGUUGGCUAAACCUUACCAUUUAGAGGAAGGUGAAGUCGUAACA
This 314-nucleotide ribosomal RNA is filed under the name uncultured eukaryote. RNAcentral's name for it is "partial 18S ribosomal RNA". It matches the Rfam family "Eukaryotic small subunit ribosomal RNA", at positions 1470 to 1796 of the family's 1831-position model. The record is from RNAcentral.